AGUGAACGCUGGCGGUAGGCCUAACACAUGCAAGUCGAACGGCAGCACAGUAAGAGCUUGCUCUUACGGGUGGCGAGUGGCGGACGGGUGAGGAAUACAUCGGAAUCUACUUUUUCGUGGGGGAUAACGUAGGGAAACUUACGCUAAUACCGCAUACGACCUACGGGUGAAAGCAGGGGAUCUUCGGACCUUGCGCGAUUGAAUGAGCCGAUGUCGGAUGAGCUAGUUGGCGGGGUAAAGGCCCACCAAGGCGACGAUCCGUAGCUGGUCUGAGAGGAUGAUCAGCCACACUGGAACGGAGACACGGUCCAGACUCCUACGGGAGGCAGCAGUGGGGAAUAUUGGACAAUGGGCGCAAGCCUGAUCCAGCCAUACCGCGUGGGUGAAGAAGGCCUUCGGGUUGUAAAGCCCUUUUGUUGGGAAAGAAAAGCAGCAGGUUAAUACCCCGCUGUUCUGACGGUACCCAAAGAAUAAGCACCGGCUAACUUCGUG
RNAcentral lists this ribosomal RNA (492 nucleotides) under uncultured bacterium. Its description in RNAcentral is "partial 16S ribosomal RNA". It matches the Rfam family "Bacterial small subunit ribosomal RNA", at positions 29 to 507 of the family's 1533-position model. The record is from RNAcentral.